AUAAGAAUGAGAGGUUCAGCAAUUCCAAUUGCGGUUCAAAUGGUUGCAGUGUUGUAAUACGUGAAGUCUUGCUUGAGAAUACUCUGGGCACUUGGUUGUGGAAGGUAGAAUAGAAAUUGUAACAACAAAAUCCUAAUUCUAAUAGAACACUAACAAUGCUAAAUAAACUUUAAUCAAAUUUAGAAAAAUCUCAAAGGAAUUCCAAAGAAAUAAUAAGAAAUCUUAAAGAAAUAUUAGAAUGAUUACAAACAUAUCUCAAAUACAUUUCAAUUUAAUCUUAAUUUAAUCCUAGUUGAAAUCUUAUUGGACUUCAUUCAAACUUUAGGUCAAAACUAACUAAAUCUUAAAUCCUAAACAAACUCAAAUAAAAUCUUAAAUCCUAAAUCAAACCCUAAUCAAAUCCUAAAUCCUAACCAAAUCCUAAAUCCUAAUCCUAAAUCCUAAUCCUAAAUCAAAUCCUAACCAAAUUCUAACCCUAAUUUUAAAUCCUAAAUCAAACCCUAAUCAGAUCCUAAUCCUAAAUCAAAUCCUAACCAAACUUUAAUCCUAAAUGAAACCCUAAAUCCUAAACCAAACUCUAAUCCUAAAUCAAACCCUAACCAAAUCCUAAUCCUAAAUCAAAUCCUAACCAAAUCCUAAAUCUUAAAUCAAAUCCUAAUCAAACUCUAAACCCUAAAUCAAACCCUAAAUCCUAAACCAAACUCUAAUCCUAAAUCAAAUCCUAA
Molecule: long non-coding RNA, 725 nt
Filed under: Physcomitrium patens
Lineage: Eukaryota; Viridiplantae; Streptophyta; Bryopsida; Funariales; Funariaceae
Description: long non-coding RNA (PPAT_LNC005465)
Source: RNAcentral